ACUGCGGAGGAUCAUUAUCAAGUUACAGCGGAGGCGCUCUCGGGUGUCCUCCUGUCUGCAACCCUUGUCUUUUGCGUACUGUAUGUUUCCUCGGUGGGCUCGCCUGCCGAUAGGACAUUCAUAAACUCUUUGUAAUUGCAAUCAGCGUCAGAAAAACUUAUAAUAGUUACAACUUUCAACAACGGAUCUCUUGGUUCUGGCAUCGAUGAAGAACGCAGCGAAAUGCGAAAAGUAGUGUGAAUUGCAGAAUUCAGUGAAUCAUCGAAUCUUUGAACGCACAUUGCGCCCCUUGGUAUUCCAUGGGGCAUGCCUGUUCGAGCGUCAUUUGUACCUUCAAGCUCUGCUUGGUGUUGGGUGUUUGUCCCGCCGUUGCGCGUGGACUCGCCUCAAAGCAAUUGGCAGCCGGCAUAAGCCUGGGAGCGCAGCACAAUUGUUGCUUCCAUUCUUAGAUGUCGAGCGUCCAGCAAGCCUUUUAUUCUUGCGUUUGACCUCGGAUCACGUAGGGAUACCCGCUGAACUUAAGCAUAUCAAUAAGCGGAGGAAAAGAAACCAACAGGGAUUGCCCUAGUAACGGCGAGUGAAGCGGCAUCAGCU
RNAcentral lists this unclassified non-coding RNA (594 nucleotides) under Neopyrenochaeta maesuayensis. RNAcentral's name for it is "sequence contains 18S rRNA gene, ITS1, 5.8S rRNA gene, ITS2". The stretch from base 171 to 324 matches the Rfam family "5.8S ribosomal RNA". The record is from RNAcentral. Lineage: Eukaryota; Fungi; Ascomycota; Dothideomycetes; Pleosporales; Neopyrenochaetaceae.